Molecule: unclassified non-coding RNA, 3466 nt
Filed under: Hevea brasiliensis (rubber tree)
Lineage: Eukaryota; Viridiplantae; Streptophyta; Magnoliopsida; Malpighiales; Euphorbiaceae
Source: RNAcentral
UGAAGCAGAAGCAGAUGAGAAGAGCUUGAGUUCCAUUCUCCAAGCCCGCAAGAAGAAUCCUACUAAUGCUGGUACUUUAACCACCAAAUCUCGUCCCAAAGAUUCCAAGGUCAAGAAGGAGGAGCCCCAAAUUGAUGACGACGACGACGAUUUUGUAAAACCCAAAGUGUUGAAGAGCUCAUCAGGGUCCCGCCCCAACGCAUCUAAAGUCAAGAAGGAAGAAGAUAAGGAUGAUGAUGAUGAUCACAAACCCAUAUCCAAGAAGAACUCUGUGGCCAAGGUCUUGUAUUUUUCUUCUCACUCUUAGUAAAUCUUUUUUUUAUUAUUCUGAGUCUGGUUUUGUUUCUUUGGAGGAGGUGAAUGAGAAAGUUGAAAUUUUAAGUCCCGUGGAAUCUGUGACUCCUCAGAUAGAGAAAUUUAGCUCAGUAUGCCAAAUAAUUAUAUUGAACUUUGUUUAGUUGAAGGUCUAUUUUUUUCAUCUGUAGUUGAAUAAUGAAUAACAUAGGUUUGCUUCAAAUUGUUGAGAUUAUUUUUCUUUCCUGCAUUUCAGUUUCAGUCAGCUAAUAGAAUUUACCUUUUUCAAUUAUGGCUGUUGUUUUAUUUUGUUUUAUGGAUUGACUUGAACUGAAGGAAUUGAACAAUAAGAAGAAGAAAAAGGAGGAAGAGAAGAAGAAGGGAUCUGUAGUUACGGAGCAAAAUGGCAAAAAGAGGGAGAGGAAGGUUUAUGAGUUGCCUGGUCAGAAGCGAGACCCUCCCGAGGAGAGAGAUCCACUUAGGAUUUUUUAUGAAUCACUGUAUAAGCAGCUUCCUAAAAGUGAAAUGGCUCAAAUCUGGUGAGACAUUUUUGCCUUAGUUAUGUUGUUUGUUUAGGCAUGUCAUACUUUUGCUUCGUGUUUAAUUUCUUUGCUUUCCGCUAUAACUUUGGUCUCCAGGAAUUAAAAUAAAAGAAUGCUUAAAGGAGGAGAUCAUUUUAGUGUACCUUUGUUAACCUUUUCAUUCUAUGUUUACAUGAGAUUUGGAUUUAAUUCAUGAGUAAGCGGGCAAGGGCUGCUUAUUAGGUACUCCAAAAUUACUUAAAGGGUGUUUUAAGGCAAAUGUUAUGUGUCUGCUUACAAAAUUGAAACACAAUAUAAUGUGUAUGAAUGUGCAAGUCUAAUUACCAAUCACAUCACGAUGCAUUGGGAAUACCUCUUAAGAUGUGAUAUGGUAAUAUGAGUUGCUGUCUUCUUACAUGCUUUCCCAUUUCUUUUUCUUUCUGUUCUCUUAUUGUUUUCACAUCCUUGUUUGAGUGCAUCUUUAGUUUGGUUAUUGAUGUGGAUUAUGAUGAGGAAUUCCUUUGUGUAUGAAACUUGCAAAUUUGAGCCAAAUGGUAUGCCAAUAACUGAUUAAAAUGUUUGCAUAUUUUGCUUAGUAUUGUCCUAGUCUCAAUGUUGGUAUGUAUUCUGGUGUUGUAGAUAUUAUUGCAAUAUCUUAUGGAAUUUUCUUUUCUGUUUGAACAUUUGAAGCAGUAUAUUUUGGACACAGUUUAUCAUUGAACUUCUUUAUGUGAGAGAAUAUGAAUUUGUGGCCAAUUAUAUUGUCACCCAGUACUCCCUUCUCAACUCUUGUGAUGGGGGGGUAGUGUCUCUGCUGAAAACUAAUGUAUUUAGUAUAUAUAAGUCACUAGUCAGUCGGGCCUUUUGUAAAAUGUUCAGCUGUUGAUGUAUAGGUGUGAUAAUCUUAACUCAAACUUCACAACACUGUCAUUUGUUUUUGUUUCUUUUCACAUCUGUAUUUGGAAUGUGGACAAAAUUUUAAUCUUAUUGCAGAAGUAUUCGUUAUAUUUAGGAUUUACUGGUCUGUUGAUCACAUGUCUGUCCCAUGUUGCUGUCAAUAAGGGAUCAUGUCCACUUUCCUUGAACUACAAAAAAAGGGGCACGUGUAGAGAUAAUGGGGGAAGGUGGGGAGUGUUGGGGUGGCAUGGCAUGCUUCUAUUAAUUUCCAGGGCUUCCCUCUGGUGCUUAUCCAAUGUAGGCAGUUUAAAACCUGCGCUGCGAACUUGGAUUUCAGCAGAUGGAAUUUUACUUCUGCCAAUGUUUAUGUGACCAUUUAUUUGAUGCUCAUGUUAAAAUGGCAUUUGUCUGAUUUCAUCAAUGGCUUAAUAUUGUUGAAAAGUCUUACUUGUCCUUGGUAGUUUCAACAUGCAUAAAUAUGCUGAUGUUUCAUUACUAAAAUUUAUUAUGUGCGAUCUUUCUCGUUUUGCAUUGAUAGUUGAGUGAUGAUUCUGCAUUCCCUGUUAUCUGACAGGAAAAGAAAUUACAUUUGUCAAUUUGGAGUUGCAAAUUCUUUUUGAUCUCUAUAAUAAUGAAUUCAGAAAUAGAAAUAUUACUAUUCAUCAUCUCAUGAUGUUCCUUUGCAAAAUGCACCUAUAAAGUUUGCCCAUGUUUAUUGCACAUUUUGUCCAAAGUGCAAACUCAUGGUUUGUCAUAUACAAUUACGCAUACACAUAUAGCACACUAAAAUUUUCCAAUUGCUUAAGUAAAGGAAACAGAGGUGGCGCAAAGAUAAACUAGAGUGGUCUCAAAUACUGAUGUUGAUCUUGUGAGAACAUUGUGAGCCUAACAGCAACUUACCCUUUCCAGAACCGUUAAACUGAAGUUAAAAUUGUGUAAUCCAAUUGUAGUCCAUGACAAAAAAAUAAAAAUAUAGACCAAGACAAAAAUCUGUAUAUUUCUCUUUAAAAUGUUGCAAAGAAAAGCAAUUGGGAUGGCAGCAAUUGAGAUGGUCUCUUCAAAAUGCACAUUUCUGAAAAUAUCAUGAGGUGUUCUCUCUGAGGCAAAAUAGUUAUCUUUACUCUUUCUUAAGUAUUUACUGUAUGUCUUCAUCUUGCUAUCUAUUGCCUAUAUAGUGAGGCUACAUAUUCUCUUAUGAUCUUUACUGUCUACAUAUGUUUUGAAUCUUUUGAUGGAGAAAUUCUCUGGAUGUAAUUUCAGGAUGAUGGAAUCCGGUUUGCUCUCUAAAGAAGAGGCAAAGAAAGUUUAUGAGAAGAAACAGAAGAAGAAUCAGCAGAAACUGAGUUCCCCAAUCAAAGCAGUUGCCUCAACAAAGAAGACUCAAUCUGCAACUGUUGUUAAGAAAAAGACACCAUCAUCGCCAGUAUCUUCAAUUAAAAAGAAGACAACAGAAUCUGAGCUUGAUAAAAAGCAGCCAAAAAAGCGCAAGAUUGGAGAUGGGAGCUCUGAAGAAGAUUCUGAUGAUGAUUUCAUAGUUAAUAGAAGCACAAAGAAACAGAGAGCAUCUUGAGCAAACAAAUGCGGCAUCUCUUCUUAUUAAUUUCUCUCGAGAGUUGUUUACAUUAUCACUAAUUCACUCAAUUUCUAUCAAAUAUUGAUGUUUACCGAUACUGUCACUGAUUUACAAUACAUUAGAAUCAAAAUCUGUACUUUUAGAAAGCUGUCAUUUUUAUGUUGAUAUCCUCAGACUUGAU